GAUGAAGAACGCAGCGAAAUGCGAUACGUAAUGUGAAUUGCAAAUUCAGUGAAUCAUCGAGUCUUUGAACGCACAUUGCGCCCCCUGGUAUUCCGGGGGGCAUGCCUGUCCGAGCGUCAUUGCUGCCCUCAAGCACGGCUUGUGUGUUGGGCCCCGUCCUCCGAUUCCGGGGGACGGGCCCGAAAGGCAGCGGCGGCACCGCGUCCGGUCCUCGAGCGUAUGGGGCUUUGUCACCCGCUCUGUAGGCCCGGCCGGCGCUUGCCGAUCAACCCAAAUUUUUAUCCAGGUUGACCUCGGAUCAGGUAGGGAUACCCGCUGAACUUAAGCAUAUCAAUAAGCGAGGA
RNAcentral lists this unclassified non-coding RNA (344 nucleotides) under soil metagenome. RNAcentral's name for it is "partial contains 5.8S ribosomal RNA, internal transcribed spacer 2, and large subunit ribosomal RNA". The stretch from base 1 to 119 matches the Rfam family "5.8S ribosomal RNA", at positions 35 to 154 of the family's 154-position model. The record is from RNAcentral.